GAUGAACGCUGGCGGCGUGCCUAAUACAUGCGAGUCGAGCGAACAGACGAGGAGCUUGCUCCUCUGACGUUAGCGGCGGACGGGUGAGUAACACGUGGAUAACCUACCUAUAAGACUGGGAUAACUUCGGGAAACCGGGGCUAAUACCGUAUAACAUGUUGAACCGCAUGGUUCAACAGUGAAAGACGGUCUUGCUGUCACUUAUAGAUGGAUCCGCGCCGCAUUAGCUAGUUGGUAAGGUAACGGCUUACCAAGGCAACGAUGCGUAGCCGACCUGAGAGGGUGAUCGGCCACACUGGAACUGAGACACGGUCCAGACUCCUACGGGAGGCAGCAGUAGGGAAUCUUCCGCAAUGGGCGAAAGCCUGACGGAGCAACGCCGCGUGAGUGAAGAAGGUCUUCGGAUCGUAAAACUCUGUUAUUAGGGAAGAACAAAUGUGUAAGUAACUAUGCACGUCUUGACGGUACCUAAUCAGAAAGCCACGGCUAACUACGUG
This 497-nucleotide ribosomal RNA is filed under the name uncultured bacterium. RNAcentral describes it as "partial 16S ribosomal RNA". It matches the Rfam family "Bacterial small subunit ribosomal RNA", at positions 28 to 507 of the family's 1533-position model. The record is from RNAcentral.